ACGCUGGCAUUUGAGAGGGGAACGAGGGAGGACGCAGCUCGGCUCCCCGCGUUCUCCCGGGCCCUCCGAAGCGGCCGCGGGCAGUGCGCAGGAGGGUCUCUGAGCCCUGGGGUUCCGGCCGCCCGGGUGCGGGUGAGGGACCUCGCGCGAGGCCGGCGGGCGCGCACGCAGCGCACCUGCACCUGUUGGAGCGGGCCUCAACCUGCGCCGCCCGAGCCGACCUCCCAGAUAGACGCCAGCCCGGCUGCUGUCACCUCCCGAAGCGGCCGCAUUUGGCUUUAGGAAAACAAAACCAAAAAGUGGGUUUACAGUUGCACACGUCGACUCCCCUAUGGGACAGCCAGUGGUGAAGACCAUAUUUUGGAGCUAGUUCGGAGAAGGAAGUUCGGUUUUGACUGACAAGUCUCAAGAGAAAGGGAAAUUCCUUUACCUCCCUUCUGUUGGAGCAGCCACUUGUCACUUCCUGGAGUUGUUGCUGGUCCCUGAGAUGGCCCACAGAGCUCCCUCCAGCCAGAGAGCACCAGCACGCAGGACACUGAAGGACCUCUGUGCUCCUGGUGAUGCUACAGUGAAAUGUCAAGCCCAUGUGUCUGCAUCUCUCAGAAGACUCCUUUUAAUCCUUAUGAAGAGGAGAAUGGCAUUCACUGAGACUUUGCCAGGAAUGGAAGGCAACUCGCCGCUGUUGUGUGAAGAAACCUGGUGAAACUCCAGCAACUUCUACCACUGGCUGGCUGCUGAGUUCUGGCCCUUGAGGUCAAAUUCUAGAAAAGAACCACAUGGGAUGUAUAACCUGGCCAUGUCUCUUGGGUUCUUGGCUGCUGCCAGCAACAUUCUCUGGGUUUGUACUCACAUGAGAACCCUCCUUUACUAUGGAUGUGGAGGUGG
This is a long non-coding RNA of Enhydra lutris kenyoni (northern sea otter), 885 nucleotides long. RefSeq lists it as uncharacterized. NCBI's taxonomy places the organism in Eukaryota, Metazoa, Chordata, Mammalia, Carnivora, Mustelidae. The transcript has 4 exons. The record is from RefSeq and is a predicted model, not a curated record.